RNAcentral lists this ribosomal RNA (468 nucleotides) under uncultured bacterium. RNAcentral's name for it is "partial 16S ribosomal RNA". It matches the Rfam family "Bacterial small subunit ribosomal RNA", at positions 28 to 507 of the family's 1533-position model. The record is from RNAcentral.
GACGAACGCUGGCGGCGUGCUUAACACAUGCAAGUCGAACGGAAAGGCCCUGCUUUUGUGGGGUGCUCGAGUGGCGAACGGGUGAGUAACACGUGAGUAACCUGCCCUUGACUUUGGGAUAACUUCAGGAAACUGGGGCUAAUAUCGGAUAGGAGCUCCUGCCGCAUGGUGGGGGUUGGAAAGUUCCGGCGGUUGGGGAUGGACUCGCGGCUUAUCAGCUUGUUGGUGGGGUAGUUGCUUACCAAGGCUUUGACGGGUAGCCGGCCUGAGAGGGUGGCCGGCCACAUUGGGACUGAGAUACGGCCCAGACUCCUACGGGAGGCAGCAGUCGGGAAUAUUGCGCAAUGGGCGGAAGCCUGAUGCAGCAGCGCCGCGUGCGGGAUGACGGCCUUCGGGUUGUAAACCGCUUUCGCCUGUGACGAAGCGUGAGUGACGGUAAUGGGUAAAGAAGCACCGGCUAACUACGUG